Molecule: microRNA precursor, 62 nt
Filed under: Mus musculus (house mouse)
Lineage: Eukaryota; Metazoa; Chordata; Mammalia; Rodentia; Muridae
Also listed under: 1 other name
Description: Mmu-Mir-216-P2b_pre stem-loop
Rfam family: mir-216 microRNA precursor family
Source: RNAcentral
UAAUCUCAGCUGGCAACUGUGAGAUGUCCCUAUCAUUCCUCACAGUGGUCUCUGGGAUUAUG